CCAUGCCGUAAACGAUGAAUGCUAGGUGUUGGAGGGUUUCCGCCCUUCAGUGCCGCAGCUAACGCAUUAAGCAUUCCGCCUGGGGAGUACGACCGCAAGGUUGAAACUCAAAGGAAUUGACGGGGGCCCGCACAAGCGGUGGAGCAUGUGGUUUAAUUCGAAGCAACGCGAAGAACCUUACCAGGUCUUGACAUCUUUUGAUCACCUGAGAGAUCAGGUUUCCCCUUCGGGGGCAAAAUGACAGGUGGUGCAUGGUUGUCGUCAGCUCGUGUCGUGAGAUGUUGGGUUAAGUCCCGCAACGAGCGCAACCCUUAUGACUAGUUGCCAGCAUUUAGUUGGGCACUCUAGUAAGACUGCCGGUGACAAACCGGAGGAAGGUGGGGAUGACGUCAAAUCAUCAUGCCCCUUAUGACCUGGGCUACACACGUGCUACAAUGGGAUGGUACAACGAGUUGCGAGACCGCGAGGUCAAGCUAAUCUCUUAAAGCCAUUCU
Molecule: ribosomal RNA, 494 nt
Filed under: Lacticaseibacillus casei
Lineage: Bacteria; Bacillati; Bacillota; Bacilli; Lactobacillales; Lactobacillaceae
Description: bacterial SSU rRNA
Rfam family: Bacterial small subunit ribosomal RNA
Source: RNAcentral